UUGAAAGGGAAACGAUUGAAGUCAGUCGGACCGACGAGAAACAGCUUUUCGAAUGUGCAUUUGUGGGCGUAUGAGAUCUUCAUUGUUUGCAAUAUGUAUGUUUCUUUGGUGUACUUUUUCGUAUGGUAGGUCAACGUCGGUUUUGGUCGCCGUAAAAUGAUCGGAGGAAUGUAGCUUCGACCUCGGUUGAAGUGUUAUAGCCUUUGGUAAAUGUGGUGAUUAAGACCGAGGAUUGCAACGAAUACCUUUUAGGCUAUCCGUCUGACCUCUGAAAGUUACUUAGGUGCCGAAAGCUUGCUUACGGUCAUUUAAGUUGACGGUCAAUAGGUUAGAACGUGAUUACAUUCGUUAAGGAUGUUGACGUA
Molecule: ribosomal RNA, 365 nt
Filed under: uncultured Glomeromycotina
Lineage: Eukaryota; Fungi; Glomeromycota
Description: LSU rRNA
Source: RNAcentral